GCUACGGGAGGCAGCAGUGAGGAAUAUUGGUCAAUGGGCGCAAGCCUGAACCAGCCAAGUCGCGUGAGGGAAGACUGCCCUAUGGGUUGUAAACCUCUUUUGUCAGGGAGCAACGCCGGCUACGUGUAGCCGGACUGAGAGUACCUGAAGAAAAAGCAUCGGCUAACUCCGUGCCAGCAGCCGCGGUAAUACGGAGGAUGCGAGCGUUAUCCGGAUUGAUUGGGGUUAAAGGGUGCGUAGGCGGAAUGCGAAGUCAGCGGUAAAAUCGCGGGGCUCAACCACGGUCCGCCGUUGAAACUGGCGUUCUUGAGUGAGCGAGAAGUAUGCGGAAUGCGUGGUGUAGCGGUGAAAUGCAUAGAUAUCACGCAGAACUCCGAUUGCGAAGGCAGCAUACCGGCGCCCAACUGACGCUGAGGCACGAAAGCGUGGGGAUCGAACAGGAUUAGAUACCCGGGUAGUC
RNAcentral lists this ribosomal RNA (460 nucleotides) under uncultured bacterium. RNAcentral's name for it is "partial 16S ribosomal RNA". It matches the Rfam family "Bacterial small subunit ribosomal RNA", at positions 338 to 795 of the family's 1533-position model. The record is from RNAcentral.